Molecule: non-coding RNA, 228 nt
Organism: Pelobates cultripes (western spadefoot toad)
Lineage: Eukaryota; Metazoa; Chordata; Amphibia; Anura; Pelobatidae
Source: the annotation of a GenBank genome assembly
CUGGGAACAUACAUUUCACAUACAGGUAGGGAGCAUCCAAUAGAAAGCAGCUGCAUUUCAUAAGGAAUGCCACUCUCCCUACCGACUGAUUCAGUUGAGAAGCAAAUCAUGCAGGAAUCUAUGCACGAACAUCAAACUGUAGUGAAUUGGAAAACAAAAUUUAGGCAAAAUGUGUUGAUCUGGAAAACAUCUCCAACUACACCUUUUGUCACCACUUGGUUAUUUGAG